Molecule: ribosomal RNA, 333 nt
Filed under: uncultured eukaryote
Lineage: Eukaryota
Description: partial 18S ribosomal RNA
Rfam family: Eukaryotic small subunit ribosomal RNA
Source: RNAcentral
CCCUUAGAUGUUCUGGGCUGCACGCGCGCUACACUGAUACCUUCAGCGAGUCCACCACCUUGCCUGGGAGGGUGGGGUAACCUCUGGAAAGUGCAUCGUGAUGGGGAUCGAUUAUUGUAAUUAUUAAUCUUCAACGAGGAAUUCCUAGUAAGCAUGUGUCAUCAGCCCGUGCUGAUUACGUCCCUGCCCUUUGUACACACCGCCCGUCGCUACUACCGAUUGAACGGUUUAGUGAGGGCCUCGGAUUGGUCUCGGCCCGCUCUUUACCGGGCGGCGCCGUUGGUCGAGAAGACGCUCGAACUUGAUCGUUUAGAGGAAGUAAAAGUCGUAACA